GACGAACGCUGGCGGCGCGCCUAACACAUGCAAGUCGAACGGAGCUGAGAGAAGCUUGCUUUUCUUAGCUUAGUGGCGAACGGGUGAGUAACGCGUGAGUAACCUGCCCUGGAGUGGGGGACAACAGUUGGAAACGACUGCUAAUACCGCAUAAGCCCACGAUCCGGCAUCGGACUGAGGGAAAAGGAUUUAUUCGCUUCAGGAUGGACUCGCGUCCAAUUAGCUAGUUGGUGAGGUAACGGCCCACCAAGGCGACGAUUGGUAGCCGGACUGAGAGGUUGAGCGGCCACAUUGGGACUGAGACACGGCCCAGACUCCUACGGGAGGCAGCAGUGGGGGAUAUUGCACAAUGGGGGAAACCCUGAUGCAGCGACGCCGCGUGGAGGAAGAAGGUUUUCGGAUUGUAAACUCCUGUCGUUAGGGACGAUAAUGACGGUACCUAACAAGAAAGCACCGGCUAACUACGUG
Molecule: ribosomal RNA, 468 nt
Filed under: uncultured bacterium
Lineage: Bacteria
Description: partial 16S ribosomal RNA
Rfam family: Bacterial small subunit ribosomal RNA
Source: RNAcentral